ACUCCUGAGCCAGCGAGACCACGAACCCACCAGAAGGAAGAAACUCUGAACACAUGCGAACAUCAGAAGGAACAAACUCCGGACACGCUGCUUUUAAGAACUGUAACACUCACGGCAGGGGUCCGCGGCUUUAUUCUUGAAGUCAGUGAAACCAAGAAACCACCGAUUCCGGACACAAUGUGAGAACUUCACUGAAGCAGAAUUACCAAAGAAACCAGCUUCUUCAUUACAGGCUAUCAGUGUAAUUCACAGCCCACAAGAAAGAAACACACCUUCUUAAGCUGACUUCUGUAUAAGGCUCGUGCUUCAGUGGUCCUCGGGAUGACAAUCAUGACUUUGUCAGACAGACACAACCCAGACUCGUGACUUAUGCCUCAACAAGACCUUGGGCUUCCACCCAGAGAAGGACUCAGUGCACAAGGAUCAUUUUUCUUACCCUUAUCAUAGCAUCCACAACCAAUUGGCAGUACCCAUUCCCUAACCCCUGCCCACUAAACCACCCUUAAAAACCCCUAACUUCCAAGGCUUUAGAGAGAAUUAUUUGAGUAAUAGCUUCAUCUCCCAUGUGGCUGGCCU
Molecule: long non-coding RNA, 576 nt
Organism: Homo sapiens (human)
Lineage: Eukaryota; Metazoa; Chordata; Mammalia; Primates; Hominidae
Source: Ensembl